GUUGUACCUCUAUUGAAAGGGCGUUUUCCAUCUACAAAGUAUGGCAGCUUUUUCAAAAAACUCACUUGAUGCCAAACUUGUUCAUGGAGUGAAUGAGACCCGAGAGGAUGGAUAACAUCAGGUGAUGUCGAACAUACCGCGAUGCUAAGACAAUGAUUCUCCAGAAGAGCAUAUCCAACACUAUGGAAUUGACCCUCCACAAAAACGAAAGGCGGAUGACAGUCAAUUCAAUUGUAAGGCAACACUUCAUCAUCACCGGGGCUCUCGGGGCCGUCACCUGCCUUUUGAAUCAACUGUGGCUCUCCAAGCCAGCGGCUACCAAAAAGCACCAUUCAACAAACUGCAUGGCUCUUCACAGGCACUCACCUACGUUUUGAUCUUUGUUCUGAUUUGACAUUUCGGAUAGAUCCCGUGAAGAGUGAUUGGCGCCAAUGAUAGUGAACAAGGUCAAAAUCAAAAUGAAGAAGCUUGAGGAUAAAAGCGCUCAACCAGAUAUCUUUCAAAUUAACGAGUUAUCAUUCAAGAUAAAGAAAGUCAAAGCUCACAAAAACCGCCAUUUGGAUGAGAAAUGUGCUUUAGUCAUAUGGAUCGAAAGUAAAACCGGAAAAAUGAUUCCAGCAGAGGAAAAAAAUGGAAUACCUGAUUAGAUUCAUGUCCAUCUGAUGAGUUUGUCAACUAUGGCACAAUGUACUUGAAAUAUGGAAUGUCAACAAGCUUCCCGCCAAAUCGGCCUGCGCUUGGUCGUAGCAACUCCGAGCCACUUUCCGAAUCAAACUGUAACAUAAGAAACGUAGAGAUCUCUUCAAUUACAGGCAGGUCACUUUAUAUCAUUCACUUUUAAGUGGUUCGUUUCAGGCGGAAAAUUCAAACUUGUUUUCAGUGCAUGUUUCUUGAGUUCCCAAGGCAUGGUUUUUGGCUCAAAUUUGGCCAAGAUCAUCUCUUCAGCAAGAUUUUGUGGUCGUAUGUCAAGCUUAUUUGGAAAAAAGUGAACAAUUUAGGAGAUAAUAAAUGUUUGCUUUUGUUUGCA
Molecule: long non-coding RNA, 1027 nt
Organism: Tigriopus californicus
Lineage: Eukaryota; Metazoa; Arthropoda; Copepoda; Harpacticoida; Harpacticidae
Exons: 2
Source: RefSeq, a predicted model, not a curated record